UCAUUACAGGAGCUCUGGUGAAAGCUGAUGGCAGGGAAGCAUUUUACUGGAAAACACAGCAAAUGAGAGAGUUCCAACAUCGUGGCCCCUUUUGAAAGGUGAAUUCCAGAUGCCUUAAUGCUCAUCUGCUCUUGGAACUCUGGCAAGCUAUGGAACACACCUGUGAGAUCGUCUAGCCGGGUGCUGCCCUAUGAGUAUCACUUUGGACAUAUAGAUAUACUUUUUAACAAUUAUGAACUGCUAUACUAAGAAUGGAUUUGAUGAUUCAUGUAUGGCCCUUCUUGAAAAAUUGGAUCGAAACGUCGAAAUC
Molecule: long non-coding RNA, 310 nt
Organism: Pseudophryne corroboree (corroboree frog)
Lineage: Eukaryota; Metazoa; Chordata; Amphibia; Anura; Myobatrachidae
Exons: 3
Source: RefSeq, a predicted model, not a curated record